This 273-nucleotide ribosomal RNA is filed under the name uncultured bacterium. Its description in RNAcentral is "partial 16S ribosomal RNA". It matches the Rfam family "Bacterial small subunit ribosomal RNA", at positions 523 to 796 of the family's 1533-position model. The record is from RNAcentral.
AUACGGAGGGUGCGAGCGUUAAUCGGAAUUACUGGGCGUAAAGCGUGCGUAGGCGGAUUAUUAAGCAAGAUGUGAAAGCCCAGGGCUCAACCUUGGAACUGAAUUUUGAACUGGUAGUCUAGAGUACUGUAGAGGGUGGUGGAAUUUCCAGUGUAGCGGUGAAAUGCGUAGAGAUUGGAAGGAACAUCAGUGGCGAAGGCGGCCACCUGGACAGAUACUGACGCUGAGGCACGAAAGCGUGGGGAGCGAACAGGAUUAGAUACCCCAGAGUCC